AACAUAAACAGAUAAGCAGCACAAUGCACUUGUAUUGAUAUAUGUUUACAGUAAAAAAAUCAAAACAAAGCAAAAUAUGUCUCAAGUACAAAAACAUACAUUUAUACAUACAAAAAUAUAAAUGAAACAAGAAGCAAGUGGCGCAAGCAAUUUCAAGGGACUUCAAAGGCGAACAAAAGCGCAAUAAUAAUAAAUGCACUUUUUGUGAUGCCCAACGGCGGCGAUUCAUGACGAAAUUAUUGACAGUUAAAUGAGCCGCCAUUAUAAUUUUUUUAUUUUUUGGAUUUUUUUGAUAUUUUUUAUUAUAAUUAACAUUUUGACUAACAGCCGGCCAGAAGCAGCAGACAAUGUCGCGCUGCAGGUGUAAUGACCUUGAUCGUUUAUGAACCAGCUGACAUUGUAAGUGUAAUAAAGCAAAACUGUGAGUGGCUAUAGCCAGUCUGUUGGGCAGUUAGGCAUUUAAAGUAGCGCCUAUGGUAGAGAAGCAGACAGUAGCAAUGGAUUUCAGAGCUAUGCUGUUGAUAGUAUUUGCUGUUACUGCGAUUUAAGUGUUGUUUUACAAUUACAGAAAAAAAAGAAUUAAAAUGGAUAAAUCAAAAUAAAAAUUGAAGAACUUGAAGACAUUUAUUAUACCCACAAGUCGUGCUUUCGGUGCCAGUCAACCGCAUCAACAACAAAGCGGGGAUGACCCAAAGGUACUCAGCUCAUUGUCAGUCGUAGCGGUGGAAAUAGCGAAUGCAAAACAAGCAAAAACAGAAUAUUAACGCGCUUUUAAAAACCAUCUUCUUCACAGCUGGCACACAGCGACAAACGAAACGAAACGAAACAGUUUGCUCUUCGCGUUUUUUUUCCGCAGUGAGGUGAGGUGAUUUUUUAUAGAUGAUGCAGUGUGUAUUCUUUCGAUUUCUUUUUAACUUGGCAAUGAGCACAGAAUUAAUUUUGCAAUCAGUGCUUUUUUUAGUAGUAUUACUCAAGAUUGUAGAUUUAUAUCAAUUAUGUCAUAAUGUUAUUAGUCAUAUACUGCUUUAUGCUAUAUAACUUUUGUUGUUUUUGUUUCGCAAAUAAGAUUAAAGAAUAAAGAUGAGCAGAUAA
Molecule: long non-coding RNA, 1092 nt
Organism: Zeugodacus cucurbitae (melon fly)
Lineage: Eukaryota; Metazoa; Arthropoda; Insecta; Diptera; Tephritidae
Exons: 2
Source: RefSeq, a predicted model, not a curated record